GAUGAACGCUGGCGGCGUGCCUAAUACAUGCAAGUCGAGCGAACAGACGAGGAGCUUGCUCCUCUGACGUUAGCGGCGGACGGGUGAGUAACACGUGGAUAACCUACCUAUAAGACUGGGAUAACUUCGGGAAACCGGAGCUAAUACCGGAUAAUAUAUUGAACCGCAUGGUUCAAUAGUGAAAGACGGUUUUGCUGUCACUUAUAGAUGGAUCCGCGCCGCAUUAGCUAGUUGGUAAGGUAACGGCUUACCAAGGCAACGAUGCGUAGCCGACCUGAGAGGGUGAUCGGCCAAACUGGAACUGAGACACGGUCCAGACUCCUACGGGAGGCAGCAGUAGGGAAUCUUCCGCAAUGGGCGAAAGCCUGACGGAGCAACGCCGCGUGAGUGAUGAAGGUCUUCGGAUCGUAAAACUCUGUUAUUAGGGAAGAACAAAUGUGUAAGUAACUAUGCACGUCUUGACGGUACCUAAUCAGAAAGCCACGGCUAACUACGUG
RNAcentral lists this ribosomal RNA (497 nucleotides) under uncultured bacterium. RNAcentral describes it as "partial 16S ribosomal RNA". It matches the Rfam family "Bacterial small subunit ribosomal RNA", at positions 28 to 507 of the family's 1533-position model. The record is from RNAcentral.